This 388-nucleotide ribosomal RNA is filed under the name uncultured bacterium. RNAcentral describes it as "bacterial SSU rRNA". It matches the Rfam family "Bacterial small subunit ribosomal RNA", at positions 28 to 417 of the family's 1533-position model. The record is from RNAcentral.
GACGAACGCUGGCGGCGUGCUUAACACAUGCAAGUCGAGCGGUAAGGCCCUUUCGGGGUACGACGAGCGGCGAACGGGUGAGUAACGCGUGGGUGACCUGCCUCUAGCUCUGGGAUAAGCCUGGGAAGGCUGGGUCUAAUACCGGAUAUGACCUCGCGGUGCAUGUUGCGGGGUGGAAAGCCUUGUGCGGCUAGGGAUGGGCCCGCGGCCUAUCAGCUUGUUGGUGGGGUGAGGCCUACCAAGGCGACGACGGGUAGCCGGCCUGAGAGGGCGACCGGCCACACUGGGACUGAGACACGGCCCAGACUCCUACGGGAGGCAGCAGUGGGGAAUCUUGCGCAAUGGGCGAAAGCCUGACGCAGCGACGCCGCGUGAGGGAUGACGGCCU